RNAcentral lists this ribosomal RNA (424 nucleotides) under uncultured Porphyromonadaceae bacterium. RNAcentral's name for it is "bacterial SSU rRNA". It matches the Rfam family "Bacterial small subunit ribosomal RNA", at positions 355 to 776 of the family's 1533-position model. Lineage: Bacteria; Pseudomonadati; Bacteroidota; Bacteroidia; Bacteroidales; Porphyromonadaceae. The record is from RNAcentral.
UGAGGAAUAUUGGUCAAUGGGCGCGAGCCUGAACCAGCCAAGUCGCGUGAGGGAAGACGGUCCUAUGGAUUGUAAACCUCUUUUGUCAGGGAGCAAAAGGCGUCACGUGUGACGCAAAGGAGAGUACCUGAAGAAAAAGCAUCGGCUAACUCCGUGCCAGCAGCCGCGGUAAUACGGAGGAUGCGAGCGUUAUCCGGAUUUAUUGGGUUUAAAGGGUGCGUAGGCGGAUAGUUAAGUCAGCGGUAAAAUUGAGAGGCUCAACCUCUUCGAGCCGUUGAAACUGGUUAUCUAGAGUGAGUGAGAAGUACGCGGAAUGCGAGGUGUAGCGGUGAAAUGCAUAGAUAUCACGCAGAACUCCGAUUGCGAAGGCAGCGUACCGGCACUCAACUGACGCUGAAGCACGAAAGCGUGGGUAUCGAACAGG